AAAUGCGAUACGUAGUGUGAAUUGCAGAAUUCAGUGAAUCAUCGAAUCUUUGAACGCACAUUGCGCCCUUUGGUAUUCCAAAGGGAAUGCCUGUUCGAGCGUCAUUUGUACCCUCAAGCUUUGCUUGGUGUUGGGCGUCUUUUUGUCUCUCCCCUUGUUGGGGGAGACUCGCCUUAAAACGAUUGGCAGCCGACCUACUGGUUUUCGGAGCGCAGCACAAAUUUGCGCCUUCCAAUCCACGGGGCGGCAUCCAGCAAGCCUUUGUUUUCUAUAACAAAUCCACAUUUUGACCUCGGAUCAGGUAGGGAUACCCGCUGAACUUAAGC
RNAcentral lists this unclassified non-coding RNA (326 nucleotides) under plant metagenome. Its description in RNAcentral is "partial contains 5.8S ribosomal RNA, internal transcribed spacer 2, and large subunit ribosomal RNA". The stretch from base 1 to 104 matches the Rfam family "5.8S ribosomal RNA", at positions 51 to 154 of the family's 154-position model. The record is from RNAcentral.